Molecule: ribosomal RNA, 424 nt
Filed under: uncultured Clostridium sp.
Lineage: Bacteria; Bacillati; Bacillota; Clostridia; Eubacteriales; Clostridiaceae
Description: bacterial SSU rRNA
Rfam family: Bacterial small subunit ribosomal RNA
Source: RNAcentral
UGGGGAUAUUGCACAAUGGGGGAAACCCUGAUGCAGCAACGCCGCGUGAGGGAAGAAGGUCUUCGGAUUGUAAACCUAAGUUGUCAGGGACGAAAGGAAUGACGGUACCUGAAAAGAAAGCUCCGGCUAACUACGUGCCAGCAGCCGCGGUAAUACGUAGGGAGCGAGCGUUGUCCGGAUUUACUGGGUGUAAAGGGUGCGUAGGCGGGUUUGCAAGUCAGGCGUGAAAUACCGAGGCUUAACUUCGGGGCUGCGCUUGAAACUGUAGAUCUUGAGUGAAGUAGAGGCAAGCGGAAUUCCUAGUGUAGCGGUGAAAUGCGUAGAUAUUCGGAGGAACACCAGUGGCGAAGGCGGCUUACUGGGCUCUAACUGACGCUGAGGCACGAAAGUGUGGGUAGCAAACAGGAUUAGAUACCCUGGUAGU